GACGAACGCUGGCGGCGUGCCUAAUACAUGCAAGUAGAACGCUGAAGGAGGAGCUUGCUCUUCUGGAUGAGUUGCGAACGGGUGAGUAACGCGUAGGUAACCUGCCUGGUAGCGGGGGAUAACUAUUGGAAACGAUAGCUAAUACCGCAUAACAUUGACUAUUGCAUGAUAGUCAAUUGAAAGGUGCAAAUGCACCACUAUCAGAUGGACCUGCGUUGUAUUAGCUAGUUGGUGGGGUAACGGCUCAUCAAGGCGACGAUACAUAGCCGACCUGAGAGGGUGAUCGGCCACACUGGGACGGAGACACGGCCCAGACUCCUACGGGAGGCAGCAGUAGGGAAUCUUCGGCAAUGGACGGAAGUCUGACCGAGCAACGCCGCGUGAGUGAAGAAGGUUUUCGGAUCGUAAAGCUCUGUUGUAAGAGAAGAACGAGUGUGAGAGUGGAAAGUUCACACUGUGACGGUAUCUACCAGAAAG
Molecule: ribosomal RNA, 477 nt
Filed under: Streptococcus cristatus
Lineage: Bacteria; Bacillati; Bacillota; Bacilli; Lactobacillales; Streptococcaceae
Description: bacterial SSU rRNA
Rfam family: Bacterial small subunit ribosomal RNA
Source: RNAcentral